This 326-nucleotide long non-coding RNA is filed under the name Numida meleagris (helmeted guineafowl). RNAcentral's name for it is "lncRNA (ENSNMEG00000001226.1)". Lineage: Eukaryota; Metazoa; Chordata; Aves; Galliformes; Numididae. The record is from RNAcentral.
GGAAAAACAAGAUGAAACAGAGCUAGAGGAGAAAGGUGACUACCAAAGGGAGAGGAUAUUUGGCUUAGCUCCGGCCUAAUAAUUUUGGUAGUCUGGCAUUGUGAGUGGAGCACACAGCCGGCUGGAAGAAGUACUUGCUGAAGAAUGAUGCAGCAAGAUUACCAUCACAGCUGAGAGAAAAAGAACUAAUAUAAGAUGUACAAGUUCACAGACCAGAUAGGAAAGCAAAGAAUCUUCUGGAAGUCUUCAAUCAAUUCUAGUCAGUCUAAUGUGCCAAAUAUUGUUCUUUACAUAUGUAUACAUUGGAGUGUUGCUACAGUGAAAAA